RNAcentral lists this ribosomal RNA (301 nucleotides) under uncultured bacterium. RNAcentral's name for it is "partial 16S ribosomal RNA". It matches the Rfam family "Bacterial small subunit ribosomal RNA", at positions 509 to 807 of the family's 1533-position model. The record is from RNAcentral.
CAGUAGCCGCGGUAAUACGUAGGGUGCAAGCGUUAAUCGGAAUUACUGGGCGUAAAGCGUGCGCAGGCGGUUUCCUAAGUCUGAUGUGAAAGCCCCCGGCUCAACCGGGGAGGGUCAUUGGAAACUGGGAAACUUGAGUGCAGAAGAGGAGAGUGGAAUUCCACGUGUAGCGGUGAAAUGCGUAGAUAUCAGGAGGAACACCGGUGGCGAAGGCGGUUCUCUGGGCAUUACCUGACGCUGAGGAGCGAAAGUGUGGGGAGCGAACAGGAUUAGAUACCCCAGUAGUCCCUGUCUCUUAUAC